Molecule: ribosomal RNA, 1341 nt
Filed under: uncultured bacterium
Lineage: Bacteria
Description: 16S ribosomal RNA
Rfam family: Bacterial small subunit ribosomal RNA
Source: RNAcentral
GACGAACGCUGGCGGCGUGCUUAACACAUGCAAGUCGAACGGUAAGGCUCCAGCUUGCUGGGGUACACGAGUGGCGAACAGGUGAGUAACACGUGGGUGACCUGCCCUGCACUUCGGGAUAAGCCUGGGAAACUGGGUCUAAUACCGGAUAGGACCGCACCGUGAGGGUGUGGUGGAAAGUUUUUUCGGUGUGGGAUGGGCCCGCGGCCUAUCAGCUUGUUGGUGGGGUAAUGGCCUACCAAGGCGGCGACGAGUAGCCGGCCUGAGAGGGUGGACGGCCACAUUGGGACUGAGACACGGCCCAGACUCCUACGGGAGGCAGCAGUGGGGAAUAUUGCACAAUGGGCGGAAGCCUGAUGCAGCGACGCCGCGUGGGGGAUGACGGCCUUCGGGUUGUAAACUCCUUUCACCAUCGACGAAGGGUUUCUGACGGUAGAUGGAGAAGAAGCACCGGCUAACUACGUGCCAGCAGCCGCGGUAAUACGUAGGGUGCGAGCGUUGUCCGGAAUUACUGGGCGUAAAGAGCUCGUAGGUGGUUCGUCGCGUCGUCUGUGAAAUUCCGGGGCUUAACUCCGGGCGUGCAGGCGAUACGGGCAUAACUUGAGUACUGUAGGGGAGACUGGAAUUCCUGGUGUAGCGGUGAAAUGCGCAGAUAUCAGGAGGAACACCGGUGGCGAAGGCGGGUCUCUGGGCAGUAACUGACGCUGAGGAGCGAAAGCAUGGGGAGCGAACAGGAUUAGAUACCCUGGUAGUCCAUGCCGUAAACGGUGGGCGCUAGGUGUGGGUUUCCUUCCACGGGAUCCGUGCCGUAGCUAACGCAUUAAGCGCCCCGCCUGGGGAGUACGGCCGCAAGGCUAAAACUCAAAGGAAUUGACGGGGGCCCGCACAAGCGGCGGAGCAUGUGGAUUAAUUCGAUGCAACGCGAAGAACCUUACCUGGGCUUGACAUAUACAGGAUCGCGCCAGAGAUGGUGUUUCCCUUGUGGCUUGUAUACAGGUGGUGCAUGGUUGUCGUCAGCUCGUGUCGUGAGAUGUUGGGUUAAGUCCCGCAACGAGCGCAACCCUUGUCUUAUGUUGCCAGCACGUUGUGGUGGGGACUCGUAAGAAACUGCCGGGGUUAACUCGGAGGAAGGUGGGGAUGACGUCAAAUCAUCAUGCCCCUUAUGUCCAGGGCUUCACACAUGCUACAAUGGUCGGUACAGUGGGUUGCCAGUCCGUGAGGGCGAGCUAAUCCCGCAAAGCCGGUCUCAGUUCGGAUCGGGGUCUGCAACUCGACCCCGUGAAGUCGGAGUCGCUAGUAAUCGCAGAUCAGCAACGCUGCGGUGAAUACGUUCCCGGGCCU